GAUGAACGCUGGCGGCGUGCCUAACACAUGCAAGUCGAACGGAGAUUUAACGCUGACGAGACUUCGGUCAAAUCUUGUUAAAUCUUAGUGGCGGACGGGUGAGUAACGCGUGGGCAACCUGCCUCAUACUGGGGGAUAGCAGUUGGAAACGACUGAUAAUACCGCAUAAGCGCACAGUGUCGCAUGACACAGUGUGAAAAACUCCGGUGGUAUGAGAUGGGCCCGCGUCAGAUUAGCUAGUUGGUAAGGUAACGGCUUACCAAGGCGACGAUCUGUAGCCGGACUGAGAGGUCGGACGGCCACAUUGGGACUGAGACACGGCCCAAACUCCUACGGGAGGCAGCAGUGGGGGAUAUUGCACAAUGGAGGAAACUCUGAUGCAGCGACGCCGCGUGAGUGAAGAAGUAUUUCGGUAUGUAAAGCUCUAUCAGCAGGGAAGAAAGACUCGCAAGAGAGAUGAC
Molecule: ribosomal RNA, 461 nt
Filed under: bacterium MD2011
Lineage: Bacteria
Description: bacterial SSU rRNA
Rfam family: Bacterial small subunit ribosomal RNA
Source: RNAcentral